RNAcentral lists this ribosomal RNA (420 nucleotides) under bacterium. RNAcentral's name for it is "partial 16S ribosomal RNA". It matches the Rfam family "Bacterial small subunit ribosomal RNA", at positions 355 to 776 of the family's 1533-position model. The record is from RNAcentral.
UGGGGGAUAUUGCACAAUGGGCGAAAGCCUGAUGCAGCGACGCCGCGUGGGGGAUGAAGGCUUUCGGGUUGUAAACCUCUUUCGCUAUCGAACAAGGCCCGCUUAGGGUGGGUUGAGGGUAGGUGGAGAAGAAGCGCCGGCUAACUACGUGCCAGCAGCCGCGGUAAUACGUAGGGCGCGAGCGUUGUCCGGAAUUAUUGGGCGUAAAGGGCUUGUAGGCGGCUUGUUGCGCCUGCUGUGAAAACGCGGGGCUUAACUUCGCGCGUGCAGUGGGUACGGGCAGGCUUGAGUGUGGUAGGGGUGACUGGAAUUCCAGGUGUAGCGGUGGAAUGCGCAGAUAUCUGGAGGAACACCGAUGGCGAAGGCAGGUCACUGGGACAUUACUGACGAUGAGGAGCGAAAGCAUGGGUAGCGAACAGG